This 253-nucleotide ribosomal RNA is filed under the name uncultured bacterium. RNAcentral describes it as "partial 16S ribosomal RNA". It matches the Rfam family "Bacterial small subunit ribosomal RNA", at positions 524 to 776 of the family's 1533-position model. The record is from RNAcentral.
UACGGAGGGUGCAAGCGUUGCUCGGAAUUAUUGGGCGUAAAGGGUAGGUAGGUGGUCUCGUUUGUCAGGGGUGAAAGCCUUGGGCUUAACUCAAGAAGUGCCCCUGAAACGGCGAGACUCGAGUACUGGAGAGGGUCGUGGAAUUCCCGGUGUAGCGGUGAAAUGCGUAGAGAUCGGGAGGAACACCAGAGGCGAAGGCGGCGACCUGGACAGUGACUGACACUCAACUACGAAAGCGUGGGGAGCAAACAGG